GUAGUGCUUUAGCCAUCUGUGACUUUGGCGACAUUAGGAAGGAGUUUGUCCCCUGUGAGGAGAGGUGGGAUAAUGGCUCCAUUGUUCCCAGCUCCAGGGGAAGAAAAUGACCUGGCAAGGAAACCUGAAAGUGCCUGAAAGUUAGGAAGCCCUGUUCCCGUGGUCUGAGCGGGGCUGCAGGCGAGCUCCUCUCGGGAGAGGCCCCUGGAACCUGUUCCCUCCAUCCUGCAGAGCUGGAGAACAACGAGCAGGGCUUGCAAGCCACCAAAAAAUACAGGCAGCAUGUUGAGAGAUGAACAAAAUGUGCAUCUUUUUUCAGCAAAGCAGCUCAAGCACACGGAGGGUGGGGAGUAAUUAUUUAUAGUGCCAUCAGCAGAAAUAAUAGAAUGAAUUGAAGGGCUGAAAAGUUUUGCUGACUCUCAGGGAAUGCGUCCUGGCACGGACGGAUCAUUGCCGGGCCCAGCCCUUCGUAUCUCCAGCGCUCCCAAGAGCAGCCUGGAGACACAGCAGAGCCUGGGAUCCAGGGAGCUGCUCCCAGUGGGAGGAUGGAGCUUCCCUGGCAGCUCCCAGCUCGCUGCAGAGCCCCCUGUGCUGCCCGAGGCCGGAUCCAUGUCCCGCUGGAUGCCUGAGCACGGGAGGAGCAGCGCUGCCAGGCAAGGGCUGCGUGCCCAGGUUCUGGUGGCUUCACUCCCUCUGGGCAGAUCUUCCUGGCUCUUACGGACUGCCAGGAAAUGAGGAGCUUCUCCCCAGCCCCCAUUGUUCAUCAGGUUUGAGUAUUCUGUGCUGGAUUAAAGCCACAGAGGGAUUUGGGACUGAAUCAAGAUGACCUUCGGGUUCUGCUAAGACCAUCAGAGAGCGAGGAGAUCACUUGUAUGAUCCAUGAAUGUAUCCCUGCAUGGGCUGGAGGUGGCUGAGUGUCCCAGACAUCUUUUAUGGAAAAUCCUUUCCUUAGGAUUUUUCCUCCUGAGAAAGGAGGCCUCAGGAACAAAAUGUAAACAAUGAUUAUCUGCUGCUGUGGGAUGCAACAGGUGCAUCUGUGAUUGGUCUCAUGUGGUUGUUUCUAAUUAAUGGCCAAUCACAGUGAGCUGGCUGGCACACAGAGCCUGAGCCACAAACCUUUGUUAUCGUUCUUUCCUUUUCUAUUCUUAGUCAGCCUUCUGAUGAAAUCCUUUCUUCUAUUCUUUUACUAUAG
This 1192-nucleotide long non-coding RNA is filed under the name Zonotrichia albicollis (white-throated sparrow). RNAcentral's name for it is "lncRNA (ENSZALG00000003383.1)". Lineage: Eukaryota; Metazoa; Chordata; Aves; Passeriformes; Passerellidae. The record is from RNAcentral.